GAGAACAGGACCGGCUGACCCAGAGGCUUUAAAAGCUGUAAAUCAGUACCAGAGUCACAACCCCAGCCCAGAUGGGGUAGGACCAUUUACCUGCUGUUAGAAUCCAUUUGUGUUCAGAGAGAUGAGUCACUUAGCCCUCUCAUCCCAGGGGAGAUGUGGGAGCAGGAACACAGCUUUGGGGAUGUUCUAUCCAUGUGAAAUGAAGCUGAAGAAGACAAGUCCUGGCUACUGAGGCUCCACACCUAAGCAGCUCCAAAGGCAAUGCAGGCUGGUUCUUAAAACAUGACUGUAAAAAUUGAUUCAAAUGGGCCCUGGGACUCGGCUGAGCUGGAGGUAGGCAAGUACUCAACCCAUUCACUGAAAAAUGUACCAGUGCCCAUCAGUGCUCCAUUGGGACUGGAAACACCUCAGAGCUGCUGUCAGUGCAGCACUUACUGCACGAGCAACAACUCACCCAGCUAAAGGGGAAAAUUAAAUAUAACUGUCCACACUGCUCUUGGCAACUCACCUGAACCUGCCUUGCACUCCCUGUGAGAAGCUCACUGCUUGCGGACAUAUGAGGCUUGCCUUUCAACCCUCACCCCAAAAACCACUUCUGUGCCACCCUGUCACCCCAUCCGGGAUAGCCCAUGCAUGCACUGGCUCUGGCAGAGCCCAGACUCAGGUUUUUUCCCAAAUGCAAGUGGGUCUCAUUCAAAUGUCCAUCCUGUGUCUGUUCCCACUGAAAAGUACCACCCUACCAGCUGCUCCCACAGACCUCAGCUGGCAGGAGGGCCCUUUCAUUCUCUCCCCAUAUCAAGCUCACGAGCACAUCUGUGCUCUUGCAUUAUGAAGAUGUGCCCAUUCCAGUUCCGGCCACUGACCCAACUCUGAACAGUACUUGAGGCAAUUGGGGCCAAAUCACAGAGAAAAUUUAAACCAAAGCACACAUAGGCACAAGACCCUAACAGCAGAACAGACGUUGCCAGAACCACCCAGUGCCUUUCCAGGUGCCCAGCUGCCCUGUGCUGCCCCAAAGCCAAGAGCGAUUGCUCCGAGGGUCGGCGGCCAGGCUCAGCCACCGCCCUCGGCUCCAACACGAGUGAGGAGCAGUGAAAGGCAGCUCCUGUCUGUGGUACUCCUGUGUAGAGAGGGUCAAGAGAAGGGAAAAUCCCACCAAACCCAACCCAGGCAGGGCUGGCCUGUGCCAGGUGCAGGGACAAGGUUCUCCCGCCCACCUGUGAGUACAGCUUAGCCCACCAGAACAUUUCCCGCAGCACCUCACUGCAUCGGAUCAAACAACAAAACCUCUCGCUACUCCAGCUGCCAUGAACUAGCUCAAAACCACUUCCUGCAGCCUCAGGUGAGCACAAGUUAAAUUAAAAUCAGAGCAAGGGCAAAGCAGGUGGGAUCAAAAUCUGAGGGUGAAACACCAACAGCUUUUUUUCAAAAUAGUUUUAAUUCUUGCAUCCAAGGAAACAAAACCACAUCUAGUUUUAUAUGCAUUUAAUAGUUUACCAAUUGGUACAAUAAGAUUUUUUUAAUAUGCAGAAAACAUGAAUAAAUUUUGUUUUACACAGUCUGAGAGCAACAAAUCUUACUGUAAAACACAGAGCAGUAUUAUAUACAUUCCUUUACCGAUUUUGUUUAAAUUGUGUCAAUGCUUCAGUUAACUCCUACAGCCUGGGAACUGUUCUCUCCAAUCGCAACCUCUAACAGCGCUCAAACAAACAUCUGACAUUUGCCUUCACGUCGAUGUCGGGAUCGACUCUAAAGCGUGAGGAUUUUGCUAACUUCUCUUCAGAAUGAACUCGGGGAAGCCUGAGGGACAGGCAGGACAGGAAAGCAGCUACUUACAUGACACAGUGGAAAGAUAAAAAGGCCAGUUAACGCCAGUUGUGACUUGCAAAUCCAACGCGACCCCCCCACUCCCCCCGUCCAUCCCACCCCUCUAUGCACGUGCUCUUGCUACAGGACUCUCGGUAUUGAUUUAAUACACGGACGUUAUAUACAGCUGGACACAACAGCUCACUCCAAGGGCGCUUCUCCUUCACUCAACUCAGCAUUUGCAAUAUUCAAAUCAUUAAGGGAUUACCAAGCCACCACUGUCUACAAAAACAAAGUAUUUUUCCUUUUAAACAGCUCUCAGGGGAGUCAGGAGCUGUCUAAGAGUGAUUUCUCAGGCAGUUCACAUGGUCAGGAAGCGGCAGAGGAGAGGCAGGGACCCCAUGCCCACAGUCCCUACUCACUACCAACCAGGGGUUGUUUUCCUUUCCUCAGUGUCCCGGGCACACAUUGGUCACACCACACACAAAAGCAGGGUGGGUUUGUUUCACCUUCAAACCACAAAAAAUGUUGCAGUUUCUGGCCCGUGUGGCAUGCCGCAGGCUAGGCUAAGCCCAGGGAUCUGCAGUGGCUCUGGUGACAGGCCAGAGCUGGGUCCUGGCACGUGCUGCCAGGUUCAGUCAGGAAGUGCCAAAGCACCAGGGACCCUCUCACCCCCUCCAAUGCAUCUAGUUCAUUACUGACCCAGUAACCUCACUGUUGCAGAUCUGAUCCCAGCAAAGGCACAGCACAAGCUGACAGUAACAGUGGGGACAGUUCCACAGCAUGUCCCAGUGUCCCCCUCACUCCCAUGCCUGUGGUGUGGCUCCCUUCCAGCCAGGGCUUCAGCUUUGGUCCGGUUGGGACCAUCCCUGAGAUGAUUCCCUGCUGCCCCAGAAGGCUCACUCUGCACCGGAGCAGCGUUGAGUCUCAACCAGCAGUGACGCUGCUGCCAGCACUGGUAAAUGCGUCUUUGCUACAGGGAAAAAAUGCAGUAGACAACUUCCACAUCACAGGUACCUUUAAUUUCUCAUUCAGGUUUUGAGUUAUGUACAUGAGGGUGGUUUACUUUAGACUUAAAUAAAGUUUCUAGGUCCUACCAGGAAUUAAACAGAUGUUAUUACUUUACAGUUGCAGAUGCACGGAGGGAUUUAAGAUGCACUAUUUGUGUAUCUGGAAUUCUCCAAUAGGACAAAAAGCAGCAAAUUUUUCCAGUCCAAGCAGCUAACGAACAAAACAGACUUUAUUCGUGCAUGCUUAUGCAGCAACACACACUGAGAAUGACAGAAACCACUGGAUUUAAGAGAUUAGCCUGGAUCUUAAACUGGCUCUGAAAACCCCCACAUCAGAACGCCGCUUUCUCCACCGCUUCCCAGAGGAUCCCACACCCCACCCAGCUCCUCCCACAGAACAAAGGGUCCUUCUGGGCUGACUGUGGAAGUUUCCCCCUCACCAGUGCAGUGUGCUCACCCUCCAGCCCACCCUAUGCUGGUCAGGGACUCUCAGGGGCAUUUAAAGGGACAUUUUAAAAGCCAUGGAUUAAACCAAAGGAAUAAAAUAAAGCACAAAUUCACCUGUUAAAACAUCAGCCUGGUACUUCAUUGUAUUGUCAAUUUUAAAGUUGAUUUUUAAAAACACCUGGUUAGUUUGAUAAGUAUUGUAAUUCUUGGUUAUCUGCAAUGGAAUCUGUCACAAAAAUGGUGAUUAAAAUAUUAAUUUAUAGUAUUUUCAUUCAUUUCAGAUCAAAAUAUGUAACUUUAGGGAUAUGCAAAUUAAAAAUUGUUUACACCAAACAACAUAAAUUCUAAUAACUGAGCUGGGCUGGUUUUGCUGAUAGGAUUUGGGUUUGGUUUUAAUGUUUAUUAUCAUUCCCACAGAUGGGUGUGGGCUUUGUUCAUGGCAUCUUU
Molecule: long non-coding RNA, 3710 nt
Organism: Serinus canaria (Common canary)
Lineage: Eukaryota; Metazoa; Chordata; Aves; Passeriformes; Fringillidae
Exons: 2
Source: RefSeq, a predicted model, not a curated record